Molecule: ribosomal RNA, 481 nt
Filed under: Isognomon sp. A IT-2010
Lineage: Eukaryota; Metazoa; Mollusca; Bivalvia; Pterioida; Isognomonidae
Description: partial 16S ribosomal RNA
Rfam family: Bacterial large subunit ribosomal RNA
Source: RNAcentral
UGCUGGGUGAAUACUAAAACUCAGUAGGCACUGCCCGGUGCCCAGCGUGGUUAACGGCGGUUGACAAGCCUUAAAGUAGCUAAAUACCUAGUCUCUUAAUUAGAGACGCGCAUGAAGUGUUAGACGAGGGAGCGACUGUCUCUAACGAGUGUUUUUGAAAUCGAACUCCAGGUGAAAUUGCCUGGGUGGUCCCAAAAGACGAGAAGACCCCGUGCAGCUUUAUUUAAGCAUGGUAGUAUUCUGUGUGACUGUUUGGUUGGGGCAACAGGGGAAUAAGAAAAACUUCCAUGAAGAAGGUAACGACUGGUGGGUUAUCGAGCCAGAUUGUGACCGAUCGAAAGGUGAGUUACGCCGGGGAUAACAGCGUGCUUUUGGAACGGAGGACGCAUUAGUUCCUGAGAAGACGACCUCGAUGUUGAAUCAGGGGGAGCCCGAGGCGCAGCCGCUCGGAGUGUCGGGUCUGUUCGUCCUUUAGACCCCU